GACGAACGCUGGCGGCGUGCUUAACACAUGCAAGUCGAGCGGUAAGGCCCUUUCGGGGGUACACGAGCGGCGAACGGGUGAGUAACACGUGGGUGACCUGCCCUCAGCUCUGGGAUAAGCCUGGGAAACCGGGUCUAAUACUGGAUAUGACUCCAUGACGCAUGUUGUGGGGUGAAAGCCUUGUGCGGCUGAGGAUGGGCCC
RNAcentral lists this ribosomal RNA (202 nucleotides) under uncultured bacterium. Its description in RNAcentral is "partial 16S ribosomal RNA". It matches the Rfam family "Bacterial small subunit ribosomal RNA", at positions 28 to 232 of the family's 1533-position model. The record is from RNAcentral.